RNAcentral lists this ribosomal RNA (238 nucleotides) under Haemophilus influenzae. RNAcentral's name for it is "partial 23S ribosomal RNA". It matches the Rfam family "Bacterial large subunit ribosomal RNA", at positions 579 to 823 of the family's 2925-position model. Lineage: Bacteria; Pseudomonadati; Pseudomonadota; Gammaproteobacteria; Pasteurellales; Pasteurellaceae. The record is from RNAcentral.
GCCCGAAAGGGUGACUGCGUACCUUUUGUAUAAUGGGUCAGCGACUUAUAUUUUGUAGCGAGGUUAACCGAAUAGGGGAGCCGAAGGGAAACCGAGUCUUAACUGGGCGACUAGUUGCAAGGUAUAGACCCGAAACCCGGUGAUCUAGCCAUGGGCAGGUUGAAGGUUGGGUAACACUAACUGGAGGACCGAACCGACUAAUGUUGAAAAAUUAGCGGAUGACUUGUGGCUGGGGGUG